UUUUUUUUUUUUUUUGUCUUUUUGCUAUUUCUUGGGCCGCUCCAGCGGCAUAUGGAGGUUCCCAGGCUAGGGGUCGAAUCAGAGCUGUAGCCACCAGCCUACGCCAGAGCCACAGCAAUGAGGGAUCCAAGCCACGUCUGCAACCUACACCACAGCUCACGGCAACGCCGGAUCGGUAACCCACUAAGCAAGGGCAGGGACCGAACCCGCAACCUCAUGGUUCCUAGUCGGAUUCGUUAACCACUGCACCACGACGGGAACUCCUCCUCAACUGCUCUUAAAGAAGACUAAUUCCAUUGCUGUGCCUAUCAACAAUGCAGCAACGUGCCUAUCUUCCCACAUCAUCAUUCAAUGUGGACAUGAUCAGUCUAUUUAUUCAUACUCCAUCUCUUUUAUAGGUAAAAUUUGAUAUCUCAUUUUAAUAUGCAUUUGAAUUAAUUGGUAAGAAGUAAAAUAUUUUUAUUUCACUUAAACUGCUAAUUGACUUUCCUGGUUCAUUUUUCUAUUUGAUUUUCUUGCAUUAUUAAUGAAGACUACAUAUAUCUGUUCGAAAGGAGGAUUGAUGUGAAAUCACUAAAAAGUCCUGUUAAAUGUUAAGUCUUUUCUCAGGAGAAAUAAAUCAUUUAUAGCUGAGGAGUAAAAGAAAGUUCCAAGGGGAGAAGAAAGGCUUCAGCUUGACAAUUACAGCAAGAGAGCGAGCUUUGUCCUUAUUCCUUUCCUAUAAGCAGAGAAAACUCCCUGUGCAUGAAAGCAAGUAUCUUAGCGCAAAAGCAGAAAGCUGAGGAUUAGACUGGGCUCUCAGUUUUCCACUGGGGAAGAAAGCUUGUACCAGAUAUUUCAGGUUGAAGAGAUGUCAGCUCAUUUAUUCAACAGGUAAUUGCUAGUUAACAGGGAUGCUGCUGGAUAAAAGUUAGGACUUAGUCCCCAAAAGCUGAGAAAGACAAUUCGAAUUCUUUCUCUUUUCCCUUUCCUUUAGUAGAAGUUGGGGGAUAGGGGUAGGUGGACUGUGCUAAAUAUGCAGACUUAGAAAUUUGGGGAAACUUGUCAGAGUGGGGAGAGAUAGGAUGCAGAGCUGGUGGACAUGUUUAGGUUAUUAGCAAAGCUAACAAUGGUAAAAUAGUUCCUAAACUAUGAUUGUUUUAUCUAGUUUUUUAAAGUAUUAAUUUUUUAAGCAAAUGUAAUUGAGAAGAGUUCCCGCAUUGUUUUUCUCUUGAUCUGGUUACAUUUUCUUUGAGCUAAACCUCCUUUGUUUUCCUCGCCCCAUUCCAGAGAUGUUGAUGUUUCCAUUCUAGAAGUAGGCAAUUCUAAUAACACUAUUAAAUUACAUAACUAUAUUCAUUUGUCAGGAAAACCAAGAGGUGCUUGCUGCUUUCCAUGCUUGGAAGAAAAAGGCCUAUUUUUGUCUAUUCCUAAAAAUGUAAAAUGUUUGAAAAUGUUUUAUAAAUUGCCAGCUAAAAUAAAUUUCUAAAUCUAAAACUGUGAUUUCAGCAUACCAAACCAAAAGAAUAAACUUAGUCUAAUUCUCCACUUUUAGAGAGAAGGAAGCAAGACACCAAAGAUUUAAAGCUCUUUCCCAUAUAAAAACAUCCUCUCCUUUCUUUCAAACCCUUCAUUUAUAUAAGAAAAGAUUGAAGUAAAGAGAAAAAUAAGUUAUGGGAAAUUAGUACUGAGUUUGUGUGGCAUAUGUAUUUUGACUGGGCAUGUGAAAGUUUUAUCAGCAGCUACAGAAACUGUUUCCUCUUUUCUUAAAGCCACUCCUGUGUCAGUUUCUCUUCCCUUGAAUCAUUCCCCCACUUUCCAGGACUGUUCAGCCCCUCUCACAUCCCACAGUACACCCUUGUGAGCUAGGGACCUAUUUGGGUGGUAGUUGCUCUCAUUUCAAACAAAGGAAGUUAAAAAGGACUCGACUCGCAGAAAGAGGAGAGAUCUUGCCUUGUGGUUUGGGAGCUCUGCCAGACUGUUUAGCUUCUUGACUUUGAAGUUUUCACUAAUGAAAGAAAUACUUGUUAAAUAAUAGAAAUGUUUCUUGGCCUGCUACAGUUUCUCAAGGGAUAAUCUGCAGAGAGAAGUAAAAGUUCACGAUAAUGUCAGAUUGAACAAGUUUUGGAGAAUAGGAAACGUUCCUUUUAUUUUUAUACAAUAAAAAAUUGGGUGCCUAAUGUGGUAUAAUGCAAGAGCAUGGGGAUUGGACACUGACCUAGGUUGACCACUUACUGCUACUUACAAGUUGCGGGCUGUCUGCAAGGUGGUGUAUGCACAUCGUGAUACCUACCUCAGGUUUUUAUGAGGACUGCAUAUUUUAUUCAUUUAUUUUUCUUUUUAGGGCUGCAUCUGUGGCAUAUGGAAGUUCCCAGACUAGGGGUCAAAUUGGAGCUGCAGAUGCCGGCCUACACCACAGCCACAGCAACACCAAAUCCGAGCUGCCUCUGAGACCUACCCCACAGCUUUCAGCAAUGCUGGAUCCUUAACUUGCAGCUAGGGAUGGAACCCACAUCCUCAUGGAUACUAUGUUGGGUUCUUAACCCGCUGAGCCGCAACGGCAACCCCGAGGAGUGCAUCUUUUAAAAAUUAGUGCAAAAUAUCUGAAUUAGCAGGUACUCCCCUGUUUGUGCCGAAACUCAAAUAACCAAAUUUCAAAUGACUGGAAUUUUGGCAAGUCUUUAUGCAAGUAAUUAUCACUCCUAAACAAAAUUCAGAGACUUUCACAAUUACAAAAUACUCUUUCCUGAUUAUUCAAAGCCAUAUUUGACUAACACAGAACAACUGAGUCAAGGCAGACCCAGUGAGGCAGAGUGACUUGCCUACGAUCAUCAGCUAGAUAGUAAAGUUUGUCUUGAAAUUGAGUUUUCUUGGUAUUCAGAAUACCAAAAGCUGUUUUUCAAGGACAGUAUGCAGUAGUCCUUUCCACUUUUUCAAAUUUAAAAUAACCAUUGUAUAUAAUUUUUAUUUAUCUAUUUAUUUUUGUGACAUGGCCACACCCAUAUAAUGUGGAAGUUCCCAGGCCAGGGAUCGAACCUGUGCCACGGCAGUGAUUCAAGCCACAGCCCUGACAACACUGGAUCUUAACCUGCUGAGUCACCAGGGAACUCCUGCUUUUAAAUAAUUUUUAAUGCCACUGACAACCUCCAUUUUACCUCUUUCUUCUUAGAACUAUCUUUAGAGUUCGUUGCUAAACAUACAUUUUGACUAAACAUUUCUAUAAAUUGCCUUACAUAAAUUUGUAUCGUAUUAAUCAAAACAGGACCUGUCAACUAAAAAAAAAAAGCACAACAUAAAAGCUAAGAGUUAAGUUUUCUUGGGGGCAAAAUGAGGACUAUAGCCUAGGAGGCAGCAUUUCAAAUAGCUCUGAAAUAUCGCUCCAAAGAUGUAGGUGGAAAUAUUGGUAUAUAUGUGGUUUUGGUGAAGGGGGGAGGUACAUGACACCAAGCACUCAUUUUACAGGUCACUGCUGGUCUCCGAGUGAAUGUUACUGCUAAUCACGAGGAGCAGACGUCACCAUGAAGGAUGUCAGUACUUUGCUAGAUAUGAGGAGAUGCAAGAAUUGGGUUUAUAAAAUCUCAUCCUGAAAAUAUCUAUCUGGAGACCUGUUCUGCCGGUUUUCCCAGAGCACAGAGUGACUCACCCCUGAUCUCCGCCCUGAGCUCCUUUCAGGGGUGUAGAGGGACAGCAGCUGCAGCAGCUCAUGAGUCAAUCUGUGCAGAGGCAGAUGGCAAGUGCCAAUCUCCAGUUCACAGACCUGUUAAUAUGUGCAUAUGAAAAAGAGCUGUGUGCGGAUGUGAGACAUAUUACCUACUUACAUAUAUUUGGAUGCAUUAUGUUCAAAUGCAGACACCCCUUGAAAUAAAAUCAUAUGAUCUGUAUUUGGAAAUCCUGGACAUACAGAUAUUCAUUUUUUUGGUUGUUUGUUUUGUUUUGUUUUUUUAAAAGAAUUUCGUUAAAGGCCAGGAGGGCAGAUUCUUGGAAGAUAUAUGAGGAAGGCAGCUGGUGUUUAUUUUGCUCCAUUUCCCCUUUCCUCCUGUCUUGCUCUGGGGAAACCUCCCACAUUUGAAGGCUCUCUUGCUAGGCUGUUUUCUCUGAGCUUUACCCAAAUCUGAAUCCUUUUUCCCCCUUUUUCUAGUAUCACUAAGAGGCUAUGUAGGAAAAAUAAUUUUAGCCUGUGGUGAAAUUAGAAGUGAUUUUCAUACUUUGUUAAUGGAGUGAUCAUGAUUUAGGCAGGUUUUGUUGUAGUUCUCAGAAGUGUUUUCAUAUCAACCAGGGGUGAUUCAACUCAGUAACUCUGUAUAGCAAGGUUAUAGCCCCUCCUCCACCCCAGGCCCACCUCUAGGGGUAUGCUUGGGGGGACACAGACAAAUAAAUGAGUUAAAUGAUCCCUCGGUGGAAGCAGCUACAUUAUAAAGCCGUUGUAUAGAGGAAGGAACGAUUAGAGUUGGUAUUAUUAGGAAGGGCUUGGAAUGAAUCAUGCAGGUGAAAUAAAAGCGAAAUUUCAGAUACCACUGAUGAGCUAGUAGGGAAAUUGCUAGCAAGAAGCCAAACUUUGUUCUCUUGGCACAUGGAAACUUCUUACAAACAAAAUACCUCUUUGCCUGAUGUUUUCCAUCUGCUCAAAGAUAUACUCCUUAAGUCACUCAGCCUCUCUCUCUCGCCUCAUACUUCCUUAAUAGGUAAUUCUGUAUAUUAGUUCUACUACCACCCAAUUUAAUAGUAACAAACCUCUACAUUUCUACUGUAGAUCUUACAGCUUAAAAACAUUUUCCCAUGUGAUCCUACUAGCAGCUCUUUAUGCUAAAAACUAUCUUUGUUUUACAAUAGGAAUAUCUAAACCUCAGAGAAAUUCCCGAAAAUAAUAGUAAAUGGAUGCCGAAGUUCAGUCUUCUAAUGCUAGUGUUCUUUCCACAACAAAACAAUGAAACCAUAUUCUUAUGACAUCUCACAAAUUAAGAAAAUCAUACGUGGGUCUGAAUGGAAUAAUAAAUUGCAUAUUUUUCAACUUUCUACCUUUUUUUUUCUUUUUUCUUUUUCUUUGUCUUUUUUGCCAUUUCUUGGGCCAUUCCCACAGCAUAUGGAGGUUCCCAGGCUAGGGGUUGAAUUGGAGCUGUAGCCACCGGCCUAUGCCAGAGCCACAGCAACUCCGGAUACUUAACCCACUGAGCAAGGGCAGGGAUCGAACCCUGAACCUCAUGGUUCCUAGUCGGAUUCGUUAACCACUGAGCCGCGACGGGAACUCCACAGCCUUUUUUUUGUUUCAGAAAUAGUCUGUGGAAUUAAUAUGUAAAUAGGAAAAAAAUACUUGAAUUUUAUUUUAAAAUCUAUUUAUAGAGGUCUUUCUGCACACAGAUUAUGUGUUAGAUCACUUGAAUUGAUUAAUUUAAAUAUAUACAAUCGAGAUUAUAACUAGAAAAACUGCUUCAAAUAAAGUGAUUUGAGUUUGAUUUUGUUCACUAAGUUAUGGGUGCUUCCUCCCAUACACACUUACAGAAUAAUAACAUGACAGAAUUUAAAGCAGACUAGGGAUUAGACAGCAGCUAGUCUUGAACUGUCAUUUAAUAGAAACUGGAGCCCAGAGACGUUAUUACAGCUAUUCAGUGGUCAAAACUUCCUCAGACUGGCUAACAAACACAUACAGGGAGGAAAAAUCUGGGUCAUCACGCAGCCAACCUUCCAUUUUGCACACAACUAUAUGAAAUAUAUUAUGUGCUUAUCAUAAUCCUUUCUAAAAUAUUAAGAAGUAUUACAGUUAAAAUCAUAAAAAUAAUAAAAAUAAGGGCUUUGGGGAGACAAUUCUUCAUGGCAUUUUUACAGAGCUUGUAAUAGAUUAUCUUUUCAAGAUUGUUCCCAUGGCAAAAAGCCUUGGAAGCUAGAAACAGUGUCUCCCUAAAUGUCAAAGAACAGAUUUGUUUGCUGACCAGCAUAGUAAAAAUGAGAUGAUUUCCUCUUCUUCCUGGAAACAUUCCAGAUGAUAAAGAUAAUAUCUUUCUUUGGAGGGGAGGCGAGGCUGAUCUACUAGUAACCAUUAUAUGAGACCAGGAUAUCCUCAUCUGAGGGGUCCUAGGUUGUGAUCUAGAUCCAUGGUGUCAGCAGUAUUUACCUGGGCCCACCCUGCAUCAUCCCUGCUUUUUUCUUUUUAGCAUUAUAAAAUAUAUCAUAACAUAAUUUUUCAUAUGAUUAUUAUUAUAUACUCUUCAUAGAUUUUUAUUAGCUGUAUGUAUGUCCUAAUUUGCACACACUAUUUUUGCGUAUCUUUUUUCCUGAUUUUGCUGUUACAUAUGUACUUUAAUAUCAUUGUUUUUCAAUAUUUUUCUACAUGUCAUAUAAUUUUUAGUAAGGCAGAUAUCCAGAUAGGAAAUCAUUGAAUCAAAGUCUAGAAAUAUUUUUUGAGAUUUUAAUUUCAUGUUAUACCAAAAGACUUUCCAAAGAGUCUGAACCAACUUAUGUUCUCACCAGCUAUGUCACAAUCUGUUCUCAUAAGUUUUCAUAUCUUUCACUUCUUCCCCAUCACUCAUCGUGAUAGCUAUUCUGAACUUUUCACACUUCCUCAAAUUCUUCCCGCCUUUCUAUGUUUCCCUUCUACAUAGAAUACUGUUGACAUAUCUAACGCUUAUGCUGCAGAUCUUAGCUUCCAUGUCAUUUUUCUCAGAGAAUUCUUUCCUGUCUCCCAAACUACCAUAUAUUACCACUGCCUCUGAUACUUCCCUUUGUGAUACUUAGCUGGGUGUAACUGUUUAAUAUUUUUGUUCCUGGCUUGAAUUUAAGCUCUAGGAAAGUGAUAGUCUUAUUUGGCAUGUUCUUCACCGAAUCCCUGGUGCUAGAACAGAGCUUGAUACAAAGUCAGCGCCUAAUAAAUAUCUCUUAAAUCAAUUUAUAUUUUUCAAUGUUUAUAAAAAAUCCAGCAAGGGAGUUCCCGCUGUGGCGCAACAGGAUCAGCAGUGUCUCUGCAAUGGCAGGACACAGGUUCAAACCCCAGCCAUCGCAGUGGGUUAAAGGAUCUCAUGUGGCCGCAGCUGUGGGGUAGGUGGUAACUGCGGUUAGGAUCUGAGCCAUGGUCUGGGAACUCCAUAUCCUAUGGAGUGGC
Molecule: long non-coding RNA, 7069 nt
Filed under: Sus scrofa (pig)
Lineage: Eukaryota; Metazoa; Chordata; Mammalia; Artiodactyla; Suidae
Description: lncRNA (ENSSSCG00000063446.1)
Source: RNAcentral